GCUCUUAUGGUGUAAUGGUUAGCACUCUGGACUUUGAAUCCAGCGAUCCGGGCUCAAAUCCCGGGUGGAGCU
RNAcentral lists this transfer RNA (72 nucleotides) under Phytophthora infestans (potato late blight agent). RNAcentral's name for it is "tRNA-Gln". It matches the Rfam family "tRNA". From Rfam's summary of the family: Transfer RNA (tRNA) molecules are approximately 80 nucleotides in length. The record is from RNAcentral. Lineage: Eukaryota; Oomycota; Peronosporomycetes; Peronosporales; Peronosporaceae.